Molecule: long non-coding RNA, 519 nt
Organism: Mercurialis annua (annual mercury)
Lineage: Eukaryota; Viridiplantae; Streptophyta; Magnoliopsida; Malpighiales; Euphorbiaceae
Exons: 2
Source: RefSeq, a predicted model, not a curated record
AAACCUAUCUUUAAAAUUCUAACCCUAAUUUAUCUAUUUUCCAGCCGUCAUAUCUUCUCCACCUCUUCUUUCUAACCCAAACACUUUCCUUCUCCUCCAUCAAUUCUUUUCCACCCAAAUAUUUUCCUUCUCCACCUAUUUUCUGCAUAGAUUAAUAGAUUUUAUGUCAAAAACCUCCAUUUUAAUGAUUAUGUGUUCUAUCAGAGGUGGUAUUCUUCGGCUUUCCGGUCGCCGGAGUUCGAGUUGUCGUUGAAAAAAACUUAUUUGGCGUUUUUAUACAAGAUGCCGUCCAUCAAAAGCUUAUUUUAUAAGGACUAUCAAUUUUUUCAGUAGAUCUAUGAGUAAAGGAGCUAGAGAGAAAAACAACAAUAUUUUACAUUUUCGAUUUAGAUUUGUUGAGAAAAAUUGUAAUAUUUUGCAUUUUAGUUUUAGAUUUGUUAAGAAAAAUGUUAAUUAUACUACAUUCAGUUAAUGUAAUUAAUCAAAAUUAUUUAAUUUUUAUAUUUAGAUCUCUGGUAA